ACGGGUGAGUAACGCGUGGGAACAUACCCUUUCCUGCGGAAUAGCUCCGGGAAACUGGAAUUAAUACCGCAUACGCCCUACGGGGGAAAGAUUUACCGGGGAAGGAUUGGCCCGCGUUGGAUUAGCUAGUUGGUGGGGUAAAGGCCUACCAAGGCGACGAUCCAUAGCUGGUCUGAGAGGAUGAUCAGCCACAUUGGGACUGAGACACGGCCCAAACUCCUGCGGGAGGCAGCAGUGGGGAAUAUUGGACAAUGGGCGCAAGCCUGAUCCAGCCAUGCCGCGUGAGUGAUGAAGGCCUUAGGGUUGUAAAGCUCUUUCACCGAUGAAGAUAAUGACGGUAGUCGGAGAAGAAGCCCCGGCUAACUUCGUGCCAGCAGCCGCGGUAAUACGAAGGGGGCUAGCGUUGUUCGGAAUUACUGGGCGUAAAGCGCACGUAGGCGGAUAUUUAAGUCAGGGGUGAAAUCCCGCAGCUCAACUGCGGAACUGCCUUUGAUACUGGGUAUCUUGAGUAUGGAAGAGGUAAGUGGAAUUCCGAGUGUAGAGGUGAAAUUCGUAGA
RNAcentral lists this ribosomal RNA (557 nucleotides) under uncultured bacterium. Its description in RNAcentral is "bacterial SSU rRNA". It matches the Rfam family "Bacterial small subunit ribosomal RNA", at positions 102 to 694 of the family's 1533-position model. The record is from RNAcentral.